This 434-nucleotide long non-coding RNA is filed under the name Rattus norvegicus (Norway rat). Its description in RNAcentral is "long non-coding RNA NONRATT012011". Lineage: Eukaryota; Metazoa; Chordata; Mammalia; Rodentia; Muridae. The record is from RNAcentral.
UGCGGCGGUUGGCGCCUAGUUAGCUAAUGUAGACAAGGCGGCCAUUGGGCUUUGGGCAGUAAGGGGAACUCCUGGGCCUCCCUUCCGCGGUCUUCGAGGAAGAACCGCUGCUGGUGGCGGCUCCUGGAAGGGCCGACUGCCACUCCGCCCUUGGCAGGAGGGGCGGCUUCGUUUACAGAGAAUUAAUUAGAGCCAACAUGGCCACGGGAGGAGGUCCUUUUGAAGAAGUCAUGCAUGAUCAGGACUUACCGAACUGGAGCAAUGACAGUGUGGAUGACAGACUCAAUAAUAUGGAGUGGGGUGGCCAACAGAAGAAGGCCAACAGAUCAUCAGAAAAGAAUAAGAAAAAGUUUGGUGUAGCAAGUGAUAAGAGGGUAACUAACGAUAUUUCUCCGGAGUCAUCACCAGGAGUUGGAAGGCGAAGAACAAAGGUC